Long non-coding RNA from Pan troglodytes (chimpanzee), 626 nucleotides. RefSeq lists it as uncharacterized. The record is from RefSeq and is a predicted model, not a curated record. NCBI's taxonomy places the organism in Eukaryota, Metazoa, Chordata, Mammalia, Primates, Hominidae. The transcript has 2 exons.
GAUUUUUCAAUACUAUGAAAUGAUGCAGAGCAAAAAAGGUCCAUCCACUUCACUUGUGUUGCCUCCUGCGUUACCUAAACCACAACAGAACAAUGACAGACAACAGAGCCUUUCUCCUCUCUAACAAUUCAGUCACCAUGACAACCAGCAGAAGAACGUUGGGCCAGAAAAAAGCAUUGAGCUUGAGGGACUAGACUAAUCAAAAAAUGGAAUAACAUGGCAACAAUUACACUGAUGAGUGAGAGGGAAGCUACGGAUGCAUUCAGACACCUAUGGCACCACAGACUCAACGCAUUCAGCAUUUUGUGUUUAGUGUCUUGUGUUUUUGAGAGCAGGCAGAGUCUCAUUCCAUCACCCAGGCUGGAGUGCAGCGGCGUGAUCUUGGCAACCUCCACCUCCCAGGCUCAAGAAAUCCUCCCACCUCAGCCUCCCAAAUAGCUGGAUCUACAGGCGUACACCACCACAAUCAGCUGUAUUUUUUGUAGAGGCUGGGUUUCGCCAUGUUGCCCAGGGUGGUCAAGAACUUGUGAGCUCAAGUGAUCUGCCCGCCUUAGCCUCCCAAAGUGCUGGGAUUACAGGCAUGAGCCACCGCCCCUGGCCUAAUAAAAUUUAUUUUUAAAAAAGGA